Long non-coding RNA from Amphiprion ocellaris (clown anemonefish), 803 nucleotides. RefSeq lists it as uncharacterized. The transcript has 3 exons. The record is from RefSeq and is a predicted model, not a curated record. NCBI's taxonomy places the organism in Eukaryota, Metazoa, Chordata, Actinopteri, Pomacentridae.
GAAAGUUUCAGUGCAUUCCAUUGAUGUAGACGGCGUGAAAACGGAAACAAGUAUGCCGUCUCACUGUGCUGCUUACAAUUACACACUACGUCGUACGAUUGAGACAAGGAAACUUGGAAUGACUUUUCAUAGGUUUCCCAGAGACUAUGGGUUGAGGAGGAAUUGGAAGUUUGUCGGCUUAGACCUGGUGUCAUUCCAUCAGUGUUUAACUUCCCGGCUCAUCUUGGAAGAGUACGUGCCAGAAAGACCACGACCAAGCAGCCUUGAGAUCUUAGGCAGCGUCUCCCUGAGUUCAAAGGUCCCUCUCUAUCUCCCCACACAUCCACCAACCACUGGAACACAUCUCCAAAGUUCUGCUGGGCCAGCUUAGCUUCCCCUCAGAAGAAGUGCUGCCACCUGACAGAUGAAGGAGCCUUUUGAGAGGCAGCUGGCAUCGUGACUGGACUGUACUUUGGUCUGUUCCAAUCCAGCUUCAGCUCCAGAGACGGCAGGCGGGACGAGUCAACGGAGGCCGGGUGGACGAAGGCAUGCAGCUGAGUACAAUCCAGAAAACAACUGAGGAGGAGUGCAGUGGCCCAGGGCCAGAACAACCAGAGUAGCAUCGUAUGUCUCCUAGAAAACAUCAUAGUAUAGCCUUUGGUAUGAAAAAACACCAUCAUAUACAUCGUAUAUUGUACAAAUAACAAGUCAAAGGAAAGAGACAUACAUUGUAGAAUUGUAGUAAUUUUGGGCUGACUGAUUUACUGAUUAUCAGUAUUUUAUUUUUUACUGAUUUACGGUAAUAAAUACAUUUAAAAAUGGCA